UACGAAGGGGGCUAGCGUUGCUCGGAAUCACUGGGCGUAAAGCGCACGUAGGCGGCUUCUUAAGUCAGGGGUGAAAUCCUGGAGCUCAACUCCAGAACUGCCUUUGAUACUGAGGAGCUUGAGUCCGGGAGAGGUGAGUGGAACUGCGAGUGUAGAGGUGAAAUUCGUAGAUAUUCGCAAGAACACCAGUGGCGAAGGCGGCUCACUGGCCCGGUACUGACGCUGAGGUGACGAAAGCGGUGGGGAGCAAACAGG
This 255-nucleotide ribosomal RNA is filed under the name uncultured bacterium. Its description in RNAcentral is "partial 16S ribosomal RNA". It matches the Rfam family "Bacterial small subunit ribosomal RNA", at positions 524 to 776 of the family's 1533-position model. The record is from RNAcentral.